This 64-nucleotide transfer RNA is filed under the name Cavia porcellus (domestic guinea pig). It matches the Rfam family "tRNA", at positions 1 to 62 of the family's 71-position model. Rfam says of the family: Transfer RNA (tRNA) molecules are approximately 80 nucleotides in length. Their secondary structure includes four short double-helical elements and three loops (D, anti-codon, and T loops). The record is from Rfam by way of RNAcentral. Lineage: Eukaryota; Metazoa; Chordata; Mammalia; Rodentia; Caviidae.
GGGGAUUUAGCUCAGUGGUACAAGCACCUGCCUGGCAAGCAUGAGGUUGUAAGUUCAAUCCCUG